GAUGAACGCUGGCGGCGUGCUUAACACAUGCAAGUCGAACGAAGCACCUUGAUUCGAUUCUUCGGAUGCAGAUCUUGGUGACUGAGUGGCGGACGGGUGAGUAACGCGUGGGUAACCUGCCUCAUACAGGGGGAUAACAGUUAGAAAUGACUGCUAAUACCGCAUAAGACCACAGCACCGCAUGGUGCAGGGGUAAAAACUCCGGUGGUAUGAGAUGGACCCGCGUCUGAUUAGGUAGUUGGUGGGGUAACGGCCUACCAAGCCGACGAUCAGUAGCCGACCUGAGAGGGUGACCGGCCACAUUGGGACUGAGACACGGCCCAAACUCCUACGGGAGGCAGCAGUGGGGAAUAUUGCACAAUGGGGGAAACCCUGAUGCAGCGACGCCGCGUGAGCGAUGAAGUAUUUCGGUAUGUAAAGCUCUAUCAGCAGGGAAGAAAAUGACGGUACCUGACUAAGAAGCACCGGCUAAAUACGUG
Molecule: ribosomal RNA, 479 nt
Filed under: uncultured bacterium
Lineage: Bacteria
Description: partial 16S ribosomal RNA
Rfam family: Bacterial small subunit ribosomal RNA
Source: RNAcentral